RNAcentral lists this ribosomal RNA (639 nucleotides) under uncultured Actinomycetes bacterium. RNAcentral describes it as "bacterial SSU rRNA". It matches the Rfam family "Bacterial small subunit ribosomal RNA", at positions 232 to 885 of the family's 1533-position model. The record is from RNAcentral. Lineage: Bacteria; Bacillati; Actinomycetota; Actinomycetes.
CGCGGCCUAUCAGCUUGUUGGUGAGGUAACGGCUCACCAAGGCAUCGACGGGUAGCUGGUCUGAGAGGACGAUCAGCCACACUGGGACUGAGACACGGCCCAGACUCCUACGGGAGGCAGCAGUAGGGAAUCUUGCGCAAUGGGCGAAAGCCUGACGCAGCAACGCCGCGUGGGGGAUGAAUGCCUUCGGGUUGUAAACCCCUUUCAGCAGGGACGAAAAUGACGGUACCUGCAGAAGAAGCUCCGGCCAACUACGUGCCAGCAGCCGCAGUAAUACGUAGGGAGCGAGCGUUGUCCGGAAUUAUUGGGCGUAAAGAGCUCGUAGGCGGUUCAGUAAGUCGGGUGUGAAAACUCAAGGCUCAACCUUGAGACGCCACUCGAUACUGCUGUGACUUGAGUCCGGUAGAGGAGUGUGGAAUUCCAGGUGUAGCGGUGAAAUGCGCAGAUAUCAGGAGGAACACCAGCGGCGAAGGCGGCACUCUGGGCCGGUACUGACGCUGAGGAGCGAAAGCAUGGGGAGCAAACAGGAUUAGAUACCCUGGUAGUCCAUGCCGUAAACGUUGGGCACUAGGUAUGGGAUCAUAUCAACGGAUUCCGUGCCGUAGCUAACGCAUUAAGUGCCCCGCCUGGGGAGUACGG